RNAcentral lists this transfer RNA (67 nucleotides) under Marmota monax (woodchuck). RNAcentral describes it as "tRNA.Ala". The record is from RNAcentral. Lineage: Eukaryota; Metazoa; Chordata; Mammalia; Rodentia; Sciuridae.
GGUUGUGGUUCAGUGGUAGAGUACUCGCCUAGCACACGUGAGGCACUGGGUUCAAACCUCAGCACCA